UAGGUCUCCUGAAGGAACGUUGAAGACGACGACGUUGAUAGGCCGGGUGUGUAAGCGCAGCGAUGCGUUGAGCUAACCGGUACUAAUGAACCGUGAGGCUUAACCUU
This 107-nucleotide ribosomal RNA is filed under the name Salmonella enterica. RNAcentral's name for it is "partial 23S ribosomal RNA". It matches the Rfam family "Bacterial large subunit ribosomal RNA", at positions 2819 to 2925 of the family's 2925-position model. Lineage: Bacteria; Pseudomonadati; Pseudomonadota; Gammaproteobacteria; Enterobacterales; Enterobacteriaceae. The record is from RNAcentral. RNAcentral also lists the same sequence under 1 other name.